UAACGCGUGGAUAACCUGCCUCACACAGGGGGAUAACAGUUAGAAAUGACUGCUAAUACCGCAUAAGCGCACGGUACCGCAUGGUACAGUGUGAAAAACUCCGGUGGUGUGAGAUGGAUCCGCGUCUGAUUAGGUAGUUGGUGAGGUAACGGCCCACCAAGCCGACGAUCAGUAGCCGACCUGAGAGGGUGUCCGGCCACAUUGGGACUGAGACACGGCCCAAACUCCUACGGGAGGCAGCAGUGGGGAAUAUUGCACAAUGGGCGAAAGCCUGAUGCAGCAACGCCGCGUGAGUGAAGAAGUAUCUCGGUAUGUAAAGCUCUAUCAGCAGGGAAGAAAAUGACGGUACCUGACUAAGAAGCCCCGGCUAACUACGUGCCAGCAGCCGCGGUAAUACGUAGGGGGCAAGCGUUAUCCGGAUUUACUGGGUGUAAAGGGAGCGCAGACGGCACUGCAAGUCUGAAGUGAAAGCCCGGGGCUCAACCCCGGGACUGCUUUGGAAACUGUAGAGCUAGAGUGCUGGAGAGGCAAGCGGAAUUCCUAGUGUAGCGGUGAAAUGCGUAGAUAUUAGGAAGAACACCAGUGGCGAAGGCGGCUUGCUGGACAGUAACUGACGUUCAGGCUCGAAAGCGUGGGGAGCAAACAGGAUUAGAUACCCUGGUAGNCCACGCCGUAAACGAUGAAUACUAGGUGU
Molecule: ribosomal RNA, 694 nt
Filed under: uncultured bacterium
Lineage: Bacteria
Description: bacterial SSU rRNA
Rfam family: Bacterial small subunit ribosomal RNA
Source: RNAcentral